GAGUUUGAUCAUGGCUCAGAUUGAACGCUGGCGGCAGGCCUAACACAUGCAAGUCGAGCGGUAGAGAGAAGCUUGCUUCUCUUGAGAGCGGCGGACGGGUGAGUAAUGCCUAGGAAUCUGCCUGGUAGUGGGGGAUAACGCUCGGAAACGGACGCUAAUACCGCAUACGUCCUACGGGAGAAAGCAGGGGACCUUCGGGCCUUGCGCUAUCAGAUGAGCCUAGGUCGGAUUAGCUAGUUGGUGAGGUAAUGGCUCACCAAGGCGACGAUCCGUAACUGGUCUGAGAGGAUGAUCAGUCACACUGGAACUGAGACACGGUCCAGACUCCUACGGGAGGCAGCAGUGGGGAAUACUUGGACAAUGGGCGAAAGCCUGAUCCAGCCAUGCCGCGUGUGUGAAGAAGGUCUUCGGAUUGUAAAGCACUUUAAG
RNAcentral lists this ribosomal RNA (429 nucleotides) under uncultured bacterium. Its description in RNAcentral is "bacterial SSU rRNA". It matches the Rfam family "Bacterial small subunit ribosomal RNA", at positions 9 to 439 of the family's 1533-position model. The record is from RNAcentral.